RNAcentral lists this long non-coding RNA (230 nucleotides) under Mytilus galloprovincialis (Mediterranean mussel). Lineage: Eukaryota; Metazoa; Mollusca; Bivalvia; Mytilida; Mytilidae. The record is from RNAcentral.
UCGGGGCUGUGCAUGCCUGCUUCUGGAGUCAGGAUUAAUCUGCUGUUUUGUAGGUCAACUGAUGUCAAAUUUGUCAAAGGAGCUAUAUUAUUGUAGCUUAUUCCUUUUAUGCAGUUAAUAAAAGUCUAAAAGAUAUAUGUAGUUGAUGAAAAUCACAUGUAGUUACCGGACAACCCUGAAGAGAUCACUGCAAAAUGAUGCAAUAGCAAAAGAAAUUUUACAUUUCUGUG